CUCCUCCUACGGGAGGCAGCAGUCGAGAAUCAUUCACAAUGGGGGAAACCCUGAUGGUGCGACGCCGCGUGGGGGAAUGAAGGUCUUCGGAUUGUAAACCCCUGUCAUGCGGGAGCAAAUUAAAAAGAUGGUACCACAAGAGGAAGAGACGGCUAACUCUGUGCCAGCAGCCGCGGUAAUACAGAGGUCUCAAGCGUUGUUCGGAAUCACUGGGCGUAAAGCGUGCGUAGGCUGUUUCGUAAGUCGUGUGUGAAAGCCGCGGGCUCAACCCGCGGCCGGCACAUGAUACGGCG
This 293-nucleotide ribosomal RNA is filed under the name uncultured bacterium. RNAcentral describes it as "partial 16S ribosomal RNA". It matches the Rfam family "Bacterial small subunit ribosomal RNA", at positions 333 to 637 of the family's 1533-position model. The record is from RNAcentral.